This 253-nucleotide ribosomal RNA is filed under the name uncultured bacterium. RNAcentral's name for it is "partial 16S ribosomal RNA". It matches the Rfam family "Bacterial small subunit ribosomal RNA", at positions 524 to 776 of the family's 1533-position model. The record is from RNAcentral.
UACGUAGGGGGCGAGCGUUGUUCGGAUUUACUGGGCGUAAAGAGCGCGUAGGCGGUUCGAUCAGUCGGAGGUGAAAGCCCUCGGCUCAACCGAGGAUCCGCGUCCGAUACUGUCGAACUUGAGUGCAGGAGAGGAGAGCGGAAUUCCCAGUGUAGCGGUGAAAUGCGUAGAUACUGGGAGGAACACCGGUGGCGAAGGCGGCUCUCUGGACUGCUACUGACGCUGAGGCGCGAAAGCUAGGGGAGCAAACGGG